Molecule: unclassified non-coding RNA, 20 nt
Filed under: Chlamydomonas reinhardtii
Lineage: Eukaryota; Viridiplantae; Chlorophyta; Chlorophyceae; Chlamydomonadales; Chlamydomonadaceae
Description: small RNA Cre_3100
Source: RNAcentral
UGCGCGGCGAGAACGCGGAG